RNAcentral lists this long non-coding RNA (1160 nucleotides) under Prunus persica (peach). RNAcentral describes it as "long non-coding RNA (PPER_LNC002795)". Lineage: Eukaryota; Viridiplantae; Streptophyta; Magnoliopsida; Rosales; Rosaceae. The record is from RNAcentral.
AUGUUUAUUUAUUCUCAAUUUCAUUUUUUACAACACUUUCACAAAAAAAUUUACCUAACACUUAGAAAUUGAUUAUUGUACCAACAACACUUUUAACAAAAAGUUUAGCAAACGCCAAACUGCUUUAUCUCACAGUUGAUUUCUCUCACAGCAAAUCUGACAACGAUUAUUUUCACAACACAACAAUCCCAAACUGGCCCUAAAUCUUUUAUUUAAUUAAAACGGGUUGGAUCAGAAUUGUUAAUAACAACGAAAAAAUGAAUAAAACAUUAUAUAAACUUUAUUGAUGAGAAACCAACCCCAGAGGUCAAGGAAGAGUACUAAUAACCUUAGAAAGUUAUUUUACAACCCAUAAAGAUUAAAUACACACCAACCAUCCAAAGUUUAUAUAGAGGAAGGAAAUAAACAAGAAGUACUGACAGAUUUAGGAACAACACUAGAUGACGCUUGAGGAUUAUAAUCUACAUGAAAAAGCCGGUCUAUGUAGCCCCUCCAUAGGUUUAGGGAAUCAAAACCUAGGGAAGUAACUAUGCCCGCUUCACCCUUAGGUCGUUGAGGAUAAUGCCCGCAUGCGUAUACCCUCCAAAACUUUGGAAAUCCAAAGUCAAGCAUCCAUAAAACCAAAUAAUAUGGUAUCCAAAAACAGUUCAUCUUUCGCACACAACAAUAUUUUCUAUGUCAUGGAGACAUCUACUAUUUUUCAAUGGCAUUAAAAAUACCAAAAUUCCAACGUUAAAUUUCCAGGAAUUAAAUUCUUCCAUGAAUAUACCAAUAUUUAAUUCAUGAAAAUCCAAAUGACCACAAAUUGGACGUGCAAUUUUUGUAGUAAGCUUAACAAUUAUUUUCAAAAUUUUCUGGGGUCUCACAUUAAUUGUCAUUUCCAAUCUCAUUGUUUUGCGUAGUAUAAUAUAUAGAGAGUUUUAAUUGAUAUUUUAAAUACGUUUAUUUGAGGGACACACUUGUAGGACUCAUACACAUUGUUUUUCAAUGAUCGAAACGUCUAUUUUUUAGCUAUUCCUUCAAACAUUAUCCUAACAAAAAAUCACUUGAGUUAGGAAUUAUUGAAUGCUGCAAGUGUUAAUAUUUACCACACACUACAGUCUACUUCGAAAUGUGGGGCACAAUAACAGUAAGAACAAUGAUGUUCACCAAACUCUGAG